Molecule: ribosomal RNA, 468 nt
Filed under: uncultured bacterium
Lineage: Bacteria
Description: partial 16S ribosomal RNA
Rfam family: Bacterial small subunit ribosomal RNA
Source: RNAcentral
GACGAACGCUGGCGGCGUGCUUAACACAUGCAAGUCGAACGGAAAGGCCCUGCUUUUGUGGGGUGCUCGAGUGGCGAACGGGUGAGUAACACGUGAGUAACCUGCCCUUGACUUUGGGAUAACUCCAGGAAACUGGGGCUAAUACCGGAUAGGAGCUCCUGCUGCAUGGUGGGGGUUGGAAAGUUUCGGCGGUUGGGGAUGGACUCGCGGCUUAUCAGCUUGUUGGUGGGGUAGUGGCUUACCAAGGCUUUGACGGGUAGCCGGCCUGAGAGGGUGACCGGCCACAUUGGGACUGAGAUACGGCCCAGACUCCUACGGGAGGCAGCAGUGGGGAAUAUUGCACAAUGGGCGGAAGCCUGAUGCAGCAACGCCGCGUGCGGGAUGACGGCCUUCGGGUUGUAAACCGCUUUCGCCUGUGACGAAGCGUGAGUGACGGUAAUGAGUAAAGAAGCACCGGCUAACUACGUG